This is a non-coding RNA of Caenorhabditis elegans, 21 nucleotides long. NCBI's taxonomy places the organism in Eukaryota, Metazoa, Nematoda, Chromadorea, Rhabditida, Rhabditidae. The record is from Ensembl.
UACUUUGAUUCCGGCCUGAAA